UCCCAGAGUUUAUCCAGCCGGUGAAGGAUCGUCCCCGGACAGACUGUGCUGCUGCCAGGCGGAUGGUGACCAGAGCGCUGGGGCUGCAGUCACGGGGCAGAGCGAAGCGAUAUUGAAGGGAAUCACAAACGCUGUGGGCUAAUACAGGUCCAACAGAGGUCGGCCUCCACUCAUCGGGCCCGACUGAUGUUGAUACGACCUUCCAGAAGUGUUUGCCUGCUUCACUGAUCAGAGAAGCACGUUUGCAUGGUGCAGAGAGGGGGCGCCACACAUCUGCAACAUCCAUCCUGCUGAAGUGUUCAUGAGCAAAUGCUGAAGCCUCACAGUCCCUAUUCUGUAGCUGAACCUGAACCCUUUGGACAUAAGUAUUCAGAUUCCUGUUGUGACAUGAGUGGAUGAUCAAUGAUGACAGGGAAUUCAUAUGGAAAAGCCCCUGGAGAAAACUGCAGCUCUCGGCUUGUUUUGAUUUGAUUGCGUGUGUUCUUGGAACUAAGCUUUUGGAGUGGUUUUUUUUAUGGUUAUGCAGGGUUGGUUGUAUAAUUCUUUCCAAGUAGUCAUUAUUUUCUAACCUAAUGUUGAGUUCCUCGACAGAUUAAUACUCAGGAUUUGGUUAAAGAAAUGUAAAUUGUGAGCUGUACAACACAGCCAGAUGUUUAUAUUGACUGCACAUUUCCACCUGACAGAUGUAAUGUAGAUCUGUUAAAGAAAAUAACAGCCUCGCUCAAUGGCCACUGUUCCAGUUGAGAGAUGCAGCCAUUAAGAAAAACAUGUAGCAGCAAUGUUAUGCUGAACUAUAUACAUAUUUACCAAUGUUUACGUUAAUUUAAAACACGCAUUUUAAUUUGUUUCUACAAGCUCCAUCGAGAUGUUCAGUUGUUUUUAUUUGUUCUUAUAAAUAACAUGAAACUACCUUUCAGGAUUAUUGCUCAGAGGCCAAGUGUUCAAGUUCUGUCUCACUCCACUUUAUAGAAAAGGGAAGAUUUUUGAUCAACUAAAGUUGAGCUUUGGAAACUCGGACUGUACGGUCCUUUGAACCUGUUACUGUCGUUUUGAAUGUUGCCUCGGUAAAUGGCAUUAACAUGCCAUAAAACCAAUUGUAUAAGUUUGUAUUUAGUAAAAGAAAGAUGUUCAGUAUUUUAUUUUGUUGUCGUACUGAAAUAAAUGUUCACAACAUUUA
Long non-coding RNA from Notothenia coriiceps (black rockcod), 1177 nucleotides. RefSeq lists it as uncharacterized. The record is from RefSeq and is a predicted model, not a curated record. The transcript is spliced from 2 exons. Lineage: Eukaryota; Metazoa; Chordata; Actinopteri; Perciformes; Nototheniidae.